GUACUCGCUUCGGCAGCACAUAUACUAAA
This 29-nucleotide small nuclear RNA is filed under the name Cervus elaphus hippelaphus. The record is from RNAcentral. Lineage: Eukaryota; Metazoa; Chordata; Mammalia; Artiodactyla; Cervidae.